GCCCAGCUAGCUCACUCAGUAGAGCAUGAAACUCUUAAUCUCAGGGUCGUGGGUUCGAGACCCACGUUGGGCU
Molecule: transfer RNA, 73 nt
Filed under: Cricetulus griseus (Chinese hamster)
Lineage: Eukaryota; Metazoa; Chordata; Mammalia; Rodentia; Cricetidae
Rfam family: tRNA
About the family: Transfer RNA (tRNA) molecules are approximately 80 nucleotides in length. Their secondary structure includes four short double-helical elements and three loops (D, anti-codon, and T loops).
Source: Rfam by way of RNAcentral